AGGCUUGUCCCUCGCCGCCCGCCGUAGCCCGGCGCUGGCCGGUCGCCGUUUCCAAGAUGGCCGCAGCGCGAGCGGCCCCUGCGGCGGGUUAGAGGCGGAGGCGGAGCCGAGUCACUCCUGCACUUCAAGACUCCGGUGCCCCGCGCAGGCUGCAGCUCAGAGCUCAGUGCCCGCCACGGCCAUGCGGGGCUCCAUGCACGGAUGAGAGAAGCCGCCGCCGACCUGGUUCCCCCGCCCGUCUCCGCCGUCACCCCCGACGCCGCCAUGGAGGAGCCGCCGCCACCGCCGCCACCGCUGCCGGCGGAGCCCGAGCCCGAGCCCGAGCGCUGUCGCGCGGCGAGGCAAGAGUGCACGUUGGGAGAUCCAGCUUGCAAGACUUCUGAAUCUGAUCCAGAGGACUUUUCGGAUGAAACAAACACAGAGAACCUUUAUGGCAACUCUCCCCCCAGCACACCUCGGCAGAUGAAACGCAUGUCAGCGAAACACCAGAGGAACAACGUGGGCAGGCCUGCCGGUCGAUCUACUUCGAAAGAAAAAAUGAACGUGUCAAGCCAGCCUCCACAUAAAGACACUGGAAAACUCGGGGAGACUGUGGAAGAAUACAGCUAUAAGCAGGAGAAGAAGAUCCGAGCGGCCCUUAGGACAACUGAGCGCGAUCAUAAGAAGAACGUGCAGUGCUCAUUCAUGCUGGACUCCGUGGGUGGGUCUUUGCCCAAAAAGUCGAUCCCAGACGUGGAUCUGAACAAGCCUUACCUCAGUCUUGGCUGCAGCCACGCCAAGCUGCCAGUGUCUGUGCCCAUGCCCAUCGCCAGAACUGCACGGCAGACUUCCAGGACCGACUGUCCCGCAGAUCGCCUCAAGUUUUUUGAAACGUUACGACUUCUGCUAAAGCUUACCUCAGUCUCAAAGAAGAAGGACAGGGAGCAAAGAGGACAGGAGAAUACAUCUGCUUUCUGGUUUAACCGAUCUAACGAGCUGAUCUGGUUAGAGCUACAAGCCUGGCAUGCAGGACGGACCAUUAAUGACCAGGACCUCUUUUUAUAUACAGCCCGUCAAGCCAUCCCAGACAUCAUCAAUGAGAUCCUUACUUUCAAAGUGAAUUACGGGAGCUUUGCUUUUGUUAGAAAUGGAGCUGGUUUUAAUGGCACUUCAGUAGAAGGGCAGUGCGGAGCCCCUCAUGGGACACGGGCUGCGGGUUAUUCAACAUACCACGAGCAUCUCCAACGCCAGAGGGUAUCAUUUGAGCAGGUCAAACGAAUAAUGGAGCUGCUGGAGUACAUAGAAGCACUUUAUCCAUCGUUGCAGGCUCUUCAAAAGGACUACGAAAAAUAUGCUGCAAAAGACUUCCAGGACAGGGUGCAGGCACUCUGUUUGUGGUUAAACAUCACAAAAGACUUAAAUCAGAAGUUAAGGAUUAUGGGCACUGUUUUGGGCAUCAAGAAUUUGUCAGACAUUGGCUGGCCAGUGUUUGAAAUCCCUUCUCCUCGAUCAUCCAAGGGCAAUGAGCCAGAAGACGAGGGCGAUGACACAGAAGGAGAAUUGAAAGAAUUGGAAAGUAGCACAGAUGAGAGUGAAGAAGAACAAAUCAUUGAUCCAGGGGUACCAGAAACCAGACAGCCCGUUGACAACACUUCCAACAGCCAGUCUCAGGACUGCAUAUCCAAGAAGCUUGAGCGGCUUGAAUCUGAGGACGAUUCUUUUGGCUGGGGAGCACCAGACUGCAGCACAGAAGGAGGCUUCAGUAGACAUUGUCUCACUUCUAUUUAUAGACCAUUUGUAGACAAAGCACUGAAGCAGAUGGGGCUAAGAAAGCUAAUUUUAAGACUUCACAAGCUGAUGGAUGGUUCCUUGCAAAGGGCACGUAUAGCACUGGUGAAGAGUGACCAUCCAGUGGAGUUUUCCGAGUUUCCAGAUCCCAUGUGGGGUUCCGACUAUGUGCAGCUGUCCAGGACGCCACGUGCCUCGGAGCAGAAGUGCAGCACUGUGUCUUGGGAUGAGCUGAAGGCCAUGGAUUUACCCUCCUUCGAACCUGCCUUCCUGGUUCUCUGUCGGGUCCUUCUGAAUGUCAUACACGAGUGUCUGAAGUUGAGAUUGGAACAGAGGCCCGCCGGAGAGCCGUCUCUCUUGAGUAUUAAGCAGCUGGUCAGAGAGUGUAAAGAGGUGCUCAAGGGUGGCCUCUUAAUGAAACAGUACUACCAGUUCAUGCUGCACCAGGUCCUGGACGGCCUGGGGAAGGCGGACUGCAACAUCGACGCCUUCGAGGAGGACCUGCAUAAGAUGCUGAUGGUAUAUUUCGAUUACAUGAGGAGCUGGAUCCAAAUGCUACAGCAGUUGCCUCAAGCAUCCCACAGUUUAAAAAAUCUAUUAGAAGAAGAAUGGAAUUUCACCAAAGAAAUAACGCAUUACAUCCGGGGAGGAGAAGCACAGGCUGGCAAACUUUUCUGUGAUAUUGCAGGAAUGCUGCUGAAGUCCACAGGAAGUUUUUUAGAGUUUGGCCUUCAGGAGAGCUGUGCUGAGUUUUGGACCAGUGCUGACGACAGUAGUGCUUCAGAUGAAAUAAGGAGGUCUGUUAUAGAGAUCAGCCGUGCCCUGAAGGAGCUCUUCCAUGAAGCCAGAGAAAGGGCCUCCAAAGCCCUGGGCUUCGCUAAGAUGUUGAGAAAGGACCUGGAAAUAGCUGCUGAGUUCAUACUUUCAGCUCCAGUUAGAGACCUUCUGGAUGUGCUGAAAUCAAAACAGUAUGUUAAGGUACAAAUUCCUGGCUUAGAAAACUUGCAAGUGUUUGUUCCAGACACUCUCGCUGAGGAGAAGAGUGUUAUUUUGCAGUUACUCAAUGCAGCUGCAGGAAAGGACUGCUCUAAAGAGUCCGACGACGUGCUCUUUGACGCCUAUCUGCUUCUGACCAAGCCCAGUGACCGCGCUCGGGAUGCAGAUGACAGCUGGGCCACGUGGGAGGCACCACCUGUCAAAGUCGUGCCGCAGGUGGAGACUGCGGACACCCUGCGCAGCAUGCAGGUGGAUAAUCUUUUAUUAGUUGUCAUGCAGUCAGCUCAUCUCAUCAUUCAAAGAAAAGCUUUCCAGCAGUCCAUCGAGGGACUCAUGACUCUGCGGCAGGAGCAGACGUCCAGUCAGCCAGUCAUCGCCAGAGCUUUGCAGCAGCUCAAGAAUGAUGCACUAGAGCUUUGCAACAGAAUAAGCGAUGCCAUUGACCGAGUGGACCACAUGUUCACGUCAGAGUUUGACGCUGAAGUUGAUGAGUCCGAAUCUGUCACGCUUCAGCAGUACUACCGAGAAGCCAUGAUCCAGGGCUACAAUUUUGGGUUCGAGUAUCAUAAAGAAGUUGUUCGUUUGAUGUCUGGAGAGUUUAGACAGAAGAUAGGAGACAAAUAUAUAAGCUUUGCCCGGAAAUGGAUGAAUUAUGUCCUAACUAAAUGUGAGAGUGGUAGAGGUACAAGACCCAGGUGGGCAACUCAAGGUUUUGACUUUCUACAAGCCAUUGAACCUGCCUUUAUUUCAGCUUUACCAGAAGAUGACUUUUUGAGUUUACAAGCCUUGAUGAAUGAAUGCAUUGGCCACGUGAUAGGAAAGCCGCACAGUCCUGUUACAGGUUUGUACCUUGCUAUUCAUCGGAACAGCCCCCGUCCUGUGAAGGUCCCGAGAUGCCACAGUGACCCUCCUAACCCCCAUCUAAUUAUCCCGACUCCAGAGGGAUUCAGCACUCGGAGCAUGCCUUCCGACGCGCGGAGCCACGGUGGCCCUGCUGCUACAGCCACUGCCGCCGCCACCGCCGGUCGCCCCGGCCCGUCGGGCAGCGACUCUGCGCCGCCCAAACCCAUCAGCAGUGCCCAUGAUGCCAGGGGUUCCAGUGUCCCUGAAAAUGAUCGGUUGGCUUCCAUAGCAGCUGAAUUGCAGUUUAGGUCCCUGAGUCGUCACUCAAGCCCCACCGAGGAGCGCGAUGAACCAGCAUAUCCAAAAGGGGAUUCCAGUGGCUCAACGCGGAGAAGCUGGGAGCUUCGGACGCUCAUUAGCCAGACUAAGGAUACUGCGUCUAAACAAGGGCCCAUAGAAGCUAUCCAGAAGUCAGUCCGAUUGUUCGAAGAAAAGAGGUCUCGGGAAAUGAGGAGAAGGAAUAUCAUCGGUCAAGUUUGUGACACCCCUAAAUCCUACGAUAAUGUUAUGCACGUCGGCUUGAGGAAAGUGACCUUCAAGUGGCAAAGAGGAAACAAAAUUGGAGAAGGGCAGUAUGGGAAGGUCUACACCUGUAUCAGUGUGGACACCGGGGAACUGAUGGCUAUGAAGGAGAUUCGAUUUCAACCCAACGACCAUAAAACCAUCAAGGAAACUGCAGACGAGCUGAAAAUCUUUGAAGGCAUCAAGCACCCCAAUCUGGUUCGGUAUUUUGGUGUGGAGCUUCACAGAAGCACAGUAACUUUGCCUAAUUAUCAGGAAAUCUCCAUGAGUUACACCAUUUCUGCCUUCUCUCUGAAACUAGAGGAGUUCUUCCUGAAAUGAAGAAAUGUACAUCUUCAUGGAGUACUGUGACGAGGGCACGUUGGAAGAGGUGUCCCGCCUGGGGCUGCAGGAGCACGUCAUCCGGCUGUAUUCUAAGCAGAUCACCGUGGCUAUCAAUGUCCUCCAUGAGCAUGGCAUAGUCCACCGGGACAUUAAAGGUGCCAAUAUCUUCCUUACCUCAUCUGGCCUAAUCAAACUGGGAGAUUUCGGAUGCUCUGUAAAGCUGAAAAACAAUGCACAGACCAUGCCCGGUGAAGUGAACAGCACCCUGGGGACAGCAGCAUACAUGGCUCCGGAAGUCAUCACUCGUGCGAAAGGAGAAGGCCACGGGCGUGCGGCCGACAUCUGGAGUCUGGGCUGUGUUGUCAUAGAGAUGGUGACUGGCAAGAGGCCUUGGCAUGAAUAUGAACACAACUUUCAGAUUAUGUAUAAAGUGGGAAUGGGGCAUAAACCACCAAUCCCUGAAAGGUUGAGCCCGGAAGGGAAGGACUUCCUGUCUCACUGCCUGGAGAGUGAGCCCAGGAUGAGGUGGUCCGCCAGCCAACUCCUCGACCAUUCCUUCGUCAAGGUCUGCACAGAUGAAGAAUGAAGCCAGGCGGUCCGUGCCUCGUAGUCGUGUACUCGGAAGUUCUCUUAAUCACUACUGUAUGUAAUAUUUACAUGAAGACUGCUGAGAAGCAGUAUAAGCCUUUUUGACCCUCUAAGACUGAAGGCUGCACAGGUGACCAGCGUCACUGCUCCUGCUGCUCCUGGUGGUUUGACCUGGCACGGGGCCCUUCUGAGCGACAGUCUCCACGAGGUAAAGAAGCUGCAUGUUAAGUGCCAUUACUACUGUACACGGACCAUCGCCUCUGUCAUCGUUUCUCACGUGACGGAGAACCGUGGCAUCAGUGUAGGAUUUUUGACCUUACUGAUUCAAAAGCAGUUGUGGUGUUAUCAGGCGUCCUGGGCCUUGUGAUCUCCUGUUUGUUUGUCGAGCGCACUGACUGUGAAAAACCUUACCUUUUGUUGUUGUUGGCAAGUCACAGGUUUGUUUUGCAAAAGGCUGAUUAAUGAAAUUUAAGAAAAGGUUCUUUUUUCAAUAAAUGGUUUAUUUUAGGAAAGC
This is an RNA transcript of Rhinolophus ferrumequinum (greater horseshoe bat), 5614 nucleotides long. It is a transcript of the gene named mitogen-activated protein kinase kinase kinase 4, with no coding region annotated. NCBI's taxonomy places the organism in Eukaryota, Metazoa, Chordata, Mammalia, Chiroptera, Rhinolophidae. The record is from RefSeq and is a predicted model, not a curated record. The transcript has 28 exons.